GUCGAUUCGUUUCUUCCUUCCAGAGACUACAUUUUGUGUAUAGGAAAUGCUACAACCUUCUUUUAACGACCGGUACAACUAGCUAAAGUGACCUCUACGCCCAACACUUCGACCAGAAUUGUGAUCCCUUGUUCUCUGUCUUCGAAGAAUUCAACCAAAUCCCUAAACCAAAGAACCCCUAAUUCAUCUUCAGUUCUUCUUUUCAAACCCUCAAUCCAUAUCCAGUCAUUUAAUCUCUCAAUCUCCCUUGCUUCCUUGGAGCUUUGCCGCAGGUGGAUUUGCGAGCAAUCUGCUCGUACGAGCUGUUUCUUCAGAGAAAUUAUCAUGGCAAGUACUAUAGUUGUCCCGAAUGCAAUUAUACCUGAAUUUCUCAACCAUACUAAUUAUAAACAUUGGAGUUUGCGGGUCAAAACGUACUUAUUGUCUGAAGACCUCUGGGACGUUGUCGAACCCACCACUGAGAUUCAUAAACUACAAGAAAACGAUGGUGAACAAGAUGACGAUGGUGAAAAAAAUAAGGUUUGGACAAGGAAGAAUGCAAAAGUAUUGCAUAUAAUUCAGAACUCAUGCGGAAGUGAUAUGUUCUCUCUUAUCAGUGAAAUUAGCAGCGCACAAAGUGCCUGGGAGGCUUUGGAAAAAGGAUGCAAGGAAAAAAAAAAAGGAUAUUAUUUCUUCCUGUUUUUUGGCCGAUCCUCCAUUUUUGUUGAACCUCCAUGCAUCUUCGAUCUCAUUUAUGAAGCUAAACUAUUGAUUGUCUGCAAACCCAAUUGAAGGUGUUCCUAGGGCAAUGAUAUAGGGCCUCAAUGAGGCCUAAGAUUUGUUGCCUCAAUUCUAGGUGUCAAGCCAUGUCACCUAUACACCUCACUAAUUUGUCAAAUUAUGUCAUGUCAUUCUUGAA
This is a long non-coding RNA of Rosa chinensis, 898 nucleotides long. RefSeq lists it as uncharacterized. Lineage: Eukaryota; Viridiplantae; Streptophyta; Magnoliopsida; Rosales; Rosaceae. The record is from RefSeq and is a predicted model, not a curated record. The transcript is spliced from 3 exons.